AGUUGGAGCGGGAGCCUAGCUGCAGUGACGAACCGACGUGCGUAGGGCGGUGUUCUCGCGUAAAGAAAAGCGUGCGUGUGGCUGUGGUACAUCUGGAAUAGUGCUUCUAGUAUCUACAGCGGGAUCUGUGCACUAGCUGGGAUCGCUUCAACUCCUUCAACUCAUUGACACUCAUUUUUAAAGGGAAAUUUACCACAGCCGUUGCUUUCUAUCUAUCAGAAAAUGCUGCUCAUCCUGCUCGGAGUGCUCAUCUUGCACCUCAUCAUCCUGGUCUUACUGUUUGUCUCAACAAUUGCCAAUGCCUGGACUGUAGGAGGAACCAAGAGCACUGAUCUGUGGUACAGCUGUCUCACUACUGACGCAGGACAUCACUGCAGUUCUGCCAGCAACGAAGGUUUGUCCAAGACACU
Long non-coding RNA from Oncorhynchus masou masou (cherry salmon), 410 nucleotides. RefSeq lists it as uncharacterized. Lineage: Eukaryota; Metazoa; Chordata; Actinopteri; Salmoniformes; Salmonidae. The transcript is spliced from 3 exons. The record is from RefSeq and is a predicted model, not a curated record.